Molecule: long non-coding RNA, 409 nt
Organism: Hyaena hyaena (striped hyena)
Lineage: Eukaryota; Metazoa; Chordata; Mammalia; Carnivora; Hyaenidae
Exons: 4
Source: RefSeq, a predicted model, not a curated record
CCUCACAAUGUCUGCAUCUUUCACCUCCUUUGGUCUCACACGGGCGUUUUAUCAUCUCCUGACAUCAGAACAAGACUAAUGUGGUACAUCUGUAGCAAUCUCCAUACAUGCCAUGUGGCCACUUGGAUUACUUCUAAAGCCUCUUUUCUCACAAAGAUUUAUUUGCAGACUAGAACUCAGGCAUUCUGACUCCGAGCCAGCUGCUGCUUCCGACUUCAGGAUAUCUCCAUUUUGGAAGAGAACCCAUGUUUCGAGGGAUCAUGUAAUGCAGAUUCUCCCCAGGUUGGAAUUUGUAGUUAUUGGAACUCAAUGUUGCUGAAGAGGAAAAAUGGAAAUAUUGCAGACUGUACCUCAAGAGUAUCUUUCACUUUUACACAUGGAAGCCUAAGUGUCCAUCAACAGAUGAAUG